Molecule: non-coding RNA, 73 nt
Organism: Chelonia mydas (Green sea turtle)
Lineage: Eukaryota; Metazoa; Chordata; Testudines; Cheloniidae
Source: Rfam
GCUGAAAUAGCUCAGUUGGGAGAGCAUUAGACUGAAGAUCUAAAGGUUCAUGGUUUGAUCCCGGGUUUCAGCA